Molecule: ribosomal RNA, 367 nt
Filed under: uncultured eukaryote
Lineage: Eukaryota
Description: SSU rRNA
Rfam family: Eukaryotic small subunit ribosomal RNA
Source: RNAcentral
AGCUCCAAUAGCGUAUACUAAUGUUGUUGCAGUUAAAAAGCUCGUAGUCGGAUUUCAGUUUAUCGGACGAUCCACAAACGGAUCUUUUCGAUUAACUUCAUUGAUACGAACUCUCAUCUGAUUUAUUUCCGGUGUUAGCUAGUAUCUCUUUUACUUUGAGAAAAUUAGAGUGUUCAAAGCAGGUUUCGCCUGAAUAUUACUCUUGGAAUAAUGAUAUAGGACUUUGGUUCUAAUUUGUUGGUGUAUUGGGACCGGAGUAAUGAUUGAUAGGGACGGUUGGGGUCAUUCAUACUGCAAAGCGAGAGGUGAAAUUCUUGGACCUUUGUAUGAUGAACAACUGCGAAAGCAUUUGACUAGGACGUUCCCG